UACAGAGUCUGCAAGCGUUAUUCGGAUUCACUGGGCGUAAAGGGUGCGCAGGCGGCCAAGUGUGUGAGGCGUGAAAGCCCGAAGCUUAACUUCGGAAUUGCACCUCAAACUACAUGGCUAGAGCAUUGGAGAGGGUAGCGGAAUUCACGGUGUAGCAGUGAAAUGCGUAGAUAUCGUGAGGAAUACCAGAGGCGAAGGCGGCUACCUGGACAAUUGCUGACGCUCAGGCACGAAAGCGUGGGGAGCAAAAGGG
RNAcentral lists this ribosomal RNA (253 nucleotides) under uncultured bacterium. Its description in RNAcentral is "partial 16S ribosomal RNA". It matches the Rfam family "Bacterial small subunit ribosomal RNA", at positions 524 to 776 of the family's 1533-position model. The record is from RNAcentral.